UACGGAGGGAGCUAGCGUUAUUCGGAAUUACUGGGCGUAAAGCGCACGUAGGCGGCUUUGUAAGUAAGAGGUGAAAGCCUGGUGCUCAACACCAGAACUGCCUUUUAGACUGCAUCGCUUGAAUCCAGGAGAGGUGAGUGGAAUUCCGAGUGUAGAGGUGAAAUUCGUAGAUAUUCGGAAGAACACCAGUGGCGAAGGCGACGAACUGGAUAGCAACUGACACUCAACUGCGAAAGCGUGGGGAGCAAACAGGAUUAGAAACCCCACGUAGU
Molecule: ribosomal RNA, 272 nt
Filed under: uncultured bacterium
Lineage: Bacteria
Description: partial 16S ribosomal RNA
Rfam family: Bacterial small subunit ribosomal RNA
Source: RNAcentral